CGUCAAAUGCCCUAUGCUGGGCACCUUAUGGGACGCCAGGAAGGACGAUACCGGAAAUGAGCUAUGGAGACAGGGCCACGCAAGGUCAAAGUGAGCCUUGAGCUGUAGCUUGGGGCCGGCCUGAAGACUUGAAGGGUUUGGGGCAGGGCAGACCUGUACCUUAGGACCAGCGCGGUGGCGCUGUAGGUGACGACGUCUCGGAGGAGGUCAGCACCGCCCUCCAAAUGUCCAGCUGUAUGAGGAUAUGGUGUCUGGAGCUGUGGCAGCCACCUUGAGAUCAUGAAGUGACAAGCAUGAAGGCAAAAGCCAAUACGCUCAAGGUAGAGUAGGGAGAUGGAAAGAACAUGGAGCCUUGAUGACAUCAGUGUGUCCCUGAAUUAACCACCCUGGAAUAUCCUCCCUCAAGAAACUUGUCAGUUUCCAGGAACCAGGAAUCCAGAAGCAGCUUACCUGGAAGGUUCUGGCUCAAGGUCUUUCAUGAGGUUGCAGUCAAGAUGCUGGGCAGCAUGGCAGGUAUCUGAAGGCUUGACUGGGGCUGGCAGAUCCUUUCCCAAGAUGGCACACUCACGUGGCUGUUGGCCAGAGGCCUCAGUUCCUCACCAUGUGGACCUCUUUAUAGAGCAGCUUGAGUGUCCUUACAAUAUGGCAGCUGGCUUUUUCCAGAAUGAAAGUGACUCAAAAGUGAGAGAAAGGAAGAGGCUACAUGCUCUAUAUGACCUAGUCUCUGAAAUCACACACUGUCUCUUCUAUCUUAUUCUGUUUGUUAGAAGCAAGUCACAUAGCUCAAGGGGAGAUAAAUUAAGCUCCAUCUUUUAAAGGGAAGCACAUUGGCCUAGUGUGGUGGCUCACACCUCUAAUCCCAGCACUUUAGGAGGUCACAGGGGGAGGAUCACUUGAGCCCAGGAGUUCGGGACAAGUCUGGACAACACAGUGAGACUCUGCUUCUAUGAAAAAUAUAAAAAUUAGCCAGGCAUGGUGGCAGGCACCUAUAGUUCCAGCUACGCACCUGUAGUCCUCAGUCCCACGCUGAGGUAGGAGGAUCUCUUGAGCCCAGGAGUUCUAGACCAGUCUGGGCAAUAUAGUGAGAUCCCAUCUCUGCAAAUACAUUAAAAAAAUUAGCCAAGUGGGGUGGCAUGCACCUGUAGUCCCAGCUACUCAGGAGGCUGAGGUGGGAGGACCCCUUAAGUCCAGGAGUUCAAGGCUGCGGUGAGCUAUGAUUGCACCACUGCCUGGGCAAUAGAGUGAGACUCUCUCAAAAAAUAAAACAAAGGGAGCUGUAUCAAUGAAUUUUUGGAUUUAAAACCACCAUAGCUACUUUCAGCUGUGCCCUCUUUAUUUAUAGAGAUCCUCAAAGCCGAUAUUCUUUACAUCACACAUCACUGCCAGGCCGGGCAGGGAAAAAUUGUGUGCUCAGGAGAUUACAACAGACCCAAUAAUCCUCAGAAGACUUUUCAACUGAGAAAUCCUCCAGUUCCAAAAGAUUCUUGCAGAAUAAGUCUGCUUAAAGGUAUAUAUGCCUGUAUAAACAUGCCCUACCUAAAAAUAAACUUAGAUGUAAUCAUCCAUUAGGAAAUACCAAAAAUACACAAAAAGGGAUAAAGAAUAAUUUUAAAACUCCUUUGACCCACUACCUCGCUUAAGAAAUAAAAUAAUACCCACGUGAUGGAAACUCUAGAUCUUCAUAUACUCUGAUCAUAUUGUUCUUCUCACCUGCAGUGGGAACCACGACCCAUAUUUGGAUGUUUUUCAUUCCCACAAGUUUUUUUUGUUGUUUUUUUUUUUGAGACAGCGCCUCUCUCUGUCACCCAGGCUGGAGGGCAGUGGUGCGAUCUCAGCUUACUGCAACCACUGCCUCCUGGGUUCAAGUGAUUCUCCUGCCUCAGUCUCCUGAGUAGCUGGGAUUACAGGCACCCACCACUACGCCCAGUUAAUUUUUUGUAUUUUUUUUAGUAGAGACACAGUUUCUCCAUGUUGGCCAGGCUGGUCUCAAACUCCUGAGCUCAAGUGAUCAGCCUGCCCAAGUGCUGGGAUUACAGGCAUGAGCCACCGCUCCUGGCCCCACUACUUUCUUUAACUGUGCCUGGUAUAGACCUGUGCAAUGUCUGGUAUCAUUUUGCAUGUUUCUAAGCUUUGUGGAAAUGAGGGCAUACUGAACGUAUUCUUCUGACACUUGAUUUUUUUUCUCUACACUAUGUAUGUAAGCUUCAACCACGCAAGGAGAUGGAAAAAUGGAAAUCUCAUACAUUGCUGAUGGGAAGGUAAAAUGGUGCAGCUGCUUCAGAAAACAGUCUGGCAGUUUCUCAAAAAGUAACAGAGAAUUGCUGUAUAACCCAUCCACUCCUAGGUAUAUACUUGAGAGAAAUAAAACAUAUGUCCAUAUAAAAGCCUGUACGUGAAUGUUCCCAGCAGUGUUAUUUAUAUUUUUUGUUUUCUUUAAAUACCCUGCUGGAUGCCAGAGUGUUAUUUAUAAUAGUUUUAAAAAGUGGAAACAACUCAAAUGUCCAUCAGUUGAUAAGUGGAUAAAAUGUGGCAUAUCCAUACAGUGGAAUAUUAUUUGGUCGGAAAAUGGAACGAAGUACUGAAACAUGCUACAACAAGGAUGAACCUUGGAAUUGUGCUAAGUGAACAAAGCCAGGCCCAAAAGACCACAUAGUAUACAAUUCCAUUUAUGUGAAAUAUUCAGAAUAGGGCAAAUCCAUAGAGACAGAAAGUAGAUUAGCGGUUGCCUGGGGCUGGGGGUAGGGAGGAUUGGAGAGUGACUGCUCAGUGAGUACAAGGUUUAUUUUGGGGAUGGUGAUAAUAUUCUGGAAUUAGAUCAUGGUGAUGGUUGCACAACUUUGCGACUAUACUAAAAACCACAGCAUUGUACACUUUUAAAAGUCAAUUUUAUGACAUAUACAUUCUAUCUCAAUAAAAACAGAUUCAACCACAGUAUUCAUCUGUUCUCACACUGCUAAUACAGACAUACCCGAGACUGGGUA
Molecule: long non-coding RNA, 2981 nt
Organism: Gorilla gorilla gorilla (western lowland gorilla)
Lineage: Eukaryota; Metazoa; Chordata; Mammalia; Primates; Hominidae
Exons: 3
Source: RefSeq, a predicted model, not a curated record